RNAcentral lists this signal recognition particle RNA (298 nucleotides) under Daucus carota subsp. sativus. RNAcentral's name for it is "SRP RNA Plant_SRP". It matches the Rfam family "Plant signal recognition particle RNA". The record is from Rfam by way of RNAcentral. Lineage: Eukaryota; Viridiplantae; Streptophyta; Magnoliopsida; Apiales; Apiaceae.
GCUGGGCUUGGUAACGCGAGCCUGUAACUCAAGUGAGGGCUGGAUGGUUGGAUGUUGGGCCUGGUCUUGACGGUUGGGCCAUCUGAGUGCUAAUCUGGCCUGCCCUCUCCAAGUGAGAAGUGAGUUAGGGUCCUCUAGCGUAGGCUUGAGGGCAAUGGCUCCUAAAGUACAGGGCACUGCGCGAGGCUGGCUCCACAGAGCAGCGAACACCUGUCUCUUCUCACAGUGGAAGGAUAACAAGCCAGUUCUUGGGUGGUCCAUCAAAUGCCUGAAGGGCCUCUCAACUAGACAACCAUCU